Molecule: non-coding RNA, 263 nt
Organism: Elaeis guineensis (African oil palm)
Lineage: Eukaryota; Viridiplantae; Streptophyta; Magnoliopsida; Arecales; Arecaceae
Source: RefSeq, a predicted model, not a curated record
GAUAUGGUGAUGACCAAUCUUCUUAGCCCUCUCUUGACCUUGAGAGAUGGCUCAGCACCAUCGAGGGAUCUGGAGCGAUGCCCACGUGAAGCGCAGAGGCUUUUGAGCCAAUGACCUCACAGCCUCCUGGAUGCCAUCCACGAUACGAUCGUGGAGCUUCUCCAGAAUCUGCAGCUGCAUGACUGGAUGUUGGGAUGUCCGGCUCUCAUCCACCAGUUGCUAGAAAAGAGUGGGAGGAGGAAGAGGUGGAUGACAAUGAGCAU